AUUGAACGCUGGCGGCAGGCCUAACACAUGCAAGUCGAACGGUAACAGAAAGCAGCUUGCUGCUUUGCUGACGAGUGGCGGACGGGUGAGUAAUGUCUGGGAAACUGCCUGAUGGAGGGGGAUAACUACUGGAAACGGUAGCUAAUACCGCAUAACGUCGCAAGACCAAAGAGGGGGACCUUCGGGCCUCUUGCCAUCGGAUGUGCCCAGAUGGGAUUAGCUUGUUGGUGGGGUAACGGCGCACCAAGGCGACGAUCCCUAGCUGGUCUGAGAGGAUGACCAGCCACACUGGAACUGAGACACGGUCCAGACUCCUACGGGAGGCAGCAGUGGGGAAUAUUGCACAAUGGGCGCAAGCCUGAUGCAGCCAUGCCGCGUGUAUGAAGAAGGCCUUCGGGUUGUAAAGUACUUUCAGCGGGGAGGAAGGGAGUAAAGUUAAUACCUUUGCUCAUUGACGUUACCCGCAGAAGAAGCACCGGCUAACUCCGUG
RNAcentral lists this ribosomal RNA (490 nucleotides) under uncultured bacterium. Its description in RNAcentral is "partial 16S ribosomal RNA". It matches the Rfam family "Bacterial small subunit ribosomal RNA", at positions 30 to 507 of the family's 1533-position model. The record is from RNAcentral.